UGGAAAUCUUUGAAAAAAAAGGAUAAAAAUCAAUAGAGAAACAGAUUCCUACACUAUAACUCGUGUAUUAAGAUAUUUCUCCACUCUCGACAGUUAAAUUUUAGUUAUUUAAAGAGCUCGGCAAGCCUCGCGCUUUAAAUAAUAAAAUUUAACUGUCUCGAGUGGAGAAAUAUCGUAAUACACUUGUUGCAGUGUUGGAAUCUAUAUAUAUC
This 212-nucleotide long non-coding RNA is filed under the name Mytilus galloprovincialis (Mediterranean mussel). The record is from RNAcentral. Lineage: Eukaryota; Metazoa; Mollusca; Bivalvia; Mytilida; Mytilidae.